UGAUUGGUACGUCUGUGAGUAGA
RNAcentral lists this microRNA (23 nucleotides) under Pan troglodytes (chimpanzee). Lineage: Eukaryota; Metazoa; Chordata; Mammalia; Primates; Hominidae. The record is from RNAcentral.